Molecule: transfer RNA, 68 nt
Filed under: Marmota monax (woodchuck)
Lineage: Eukaryota; Metazoa; Chordata; Mammalia; Rodentia; Sciuridae
Description: tRNA.Gly
Rfam family: tRNA (bases 5-65)
About the family: Transfer RNA (tRNA) molecules are approximately 80 nucleotides in length. Their secondary structure includes four short double-helical elements and three loops (D, anti-codon, and T loops).
Source: RNAcentral
GGAUUGUGGCUCAGUGGCAGAGCGCUUGCUUCCCACACAUGAGGCACUGGGUUUAAUCCUCAGCACCA